AAAAGAUGGAAGACAACGUUAUGAGAGCCACAACUAAAAAUUGGAAUAAGUGUUUUAUUGUUACGAAACUGUUAUAUCGUGGUGGUGCUACUCUUUUACCAAGUCGUUUUGUGUGCCUUUAUUCCCUAUCUUUUACAAUCUGUGUCCGGUCGAAUUCCCAAAGUUAUCUGAUAAGUGAUGGCAUCAAAGUAGCGUGGUUUGCCUUCAACUCUUGCCACAACAAACUCUUUUGCCACAGUCAAAUUUCAUUUACUUGCUGACACGAGUCAGCUUGAUAUGCCCCUUUGGAGUGGAUCAAGAAGACGGGGAAUAAAUCCACAUGUUAUUGGCCAAAUGAAGAUGUAGCAGAGAAUGUUACUGUAUUGGUAAAUUUGAUAACAAAUAAGAGAGCUGUUGUUGAUAAAGAAAAUUGGACGGUAUUGAAUGUAACAAUAAUAGCUAAGUUAGACACUUACAGAGGAGCACAAGACCAAUUGAAGAGUGCAAUUGAUGGUGAACAGGUGGUUAGCACUGAUAUAGAAAAAAGAGGAAGACCCAGGUAGCACACAGACUCUGUUUUAGGUCUGUUACAGAUCUGUUUCUGAGAGUCUGUAAAUUGUUUGUAGUGUCACACUUUUACAGACUGUCAUACAGGUCUGUGACAGAUCCGUAAAACGGGAUCACCAUUUACAGACCAAAAACAGAUUUUCAAGAAAAAAAAGAUUUGCCUACCCCUGGUACCGAACCAUCAAUCUCUGAGUUCACAAGCCAGUACACUAAACACUAUACCGUAAUUCGAUAAUUAAUAUUAGAUAUAUUUCAUAAUGAUCUAUAUUUCACAGUUUUACACUUGUACAUUCAGCAAACAGUCUGACAUGUCUCUCUCACGAAACUGAUUGCUACAUAUGACUACCACUGGUCUCUUCCAAUAGUAACAAGACCAAGAUUGGCCCCACACCAAUUACAAGUCUUUAUUAUACCUAUUUAGGUGAUACUUCUCCGUCCGGUGGAUAAACAGCUAUUGUUGUUGUUCGAGAAGGCCUACUAAACUAAACUCAUAGCCAUUAGGCCUGCAUUGACUAUUAGAGUGUAACUUCUUACUGCAUGGUAUUGCAGUGAUAUUACACAUAUAAGAAAACGUUUAAUUCAGUUUUCCAUUGGGAAUCCAAACAUGUACCAUACUUGGGAUACAGACACAGAUAAGAUGAUUACUGACUUAUAGGUGUUACAAGGGAAAUACAGACCCGUACACACCCGGGGCACAAACACAGAACAGAUAAUCACUGAACUAAUUUUUGCAUAGAAAAUACAGACCUGUACCAUACCUGGGGUACAGACUCAGAACAGAUUAUUACUGACUCAUGUCUUACAAGGGAAAUACAGACCCGUACCAGACCUGGAGUACAGACACAGAACAGAAACAUAUUGUACUCGGUAAUACAGAGUAAAAACAUGCAUGUGACAUACCUGUAAUACAGAAGAAAAAAAGAAUGUCUUUCUACAGAGUAAAAACAGACAAGUGA
Molecule: long non-coding RNA, 1502 nt
Organism: Daphnia pulex (common water flea)
Lineage: Eukaryota; Metazoa; Arthropoda; Branchiopoda; Diplostraca; Daphniidae
Exons: 3
Source: RefSeq, a predicted model, not a curated record